Molecule: long non-coding RNA, 8017 nt
Organism: Lagopus muta (rock ptarmigan)
Lineage: Eukaryota; Metazoa; Chordata; Aves; Galliformes; Phasianidae
Exons: 3
Source: RefSeq, a predicted model, not a curated record
GUUCUCCAUCCCAGAGAAAACACAGUGGGUUCACAACGAUUAUGGCUGAGCCAAAGGCAGAGCCUCAACUGCUCAGCAUUGAUUGCAUGAGUGCUCAGCACCUUAAAGUAAAGGACAACUGGCUGCUUCGUUUCUGAGGUGUCUGCCAUAUGGGAGCAGUCCAGUAUUCCAAGUGUUUCCUGCCUUCCUUUAUAUUCAUGCCAAAAGCGCUAAUAGAAAUAGGGUGGAGACAAAAAAUCUCAGACCCUCCUGAAGAUCAUCCUCUUAAUUCCAGAAGGAUCAAAAUGCUAAAGGUUGCAUUAGAAAAACAGAAGUAGUCUUUUCUCCCACCAUUGGUAACUCAAUGCCACAACUAAAGCUGAGAGUCAGCUGCUUCUUCUACAGCUGUGUUCUUUCUGAAUUCAUGAGAAAUAGCAUUUUGAUUUCCUUCCAGAGGAAAUAUACAGUAAUAUCCCUGACUUGCACUGAGACCUUCCAAUCUGCACCACUAACCCAUGUCACAUUCAACUGCAACUGUGUUAAACCCAGGGUCCCCUUUUCCUUAUGAAUUGAGCCAAUGCUUGGGAAUUGAGGCUUUUCACAAUAAAUCUUUACAUCUUGCUUCCUCUAAGCACUUGCUUCCCAUGCUGGUUCCUUCCCCUCCUAUGUUCUCCAUUUGCAGGUGAUCCAACCUUUCCUGCAGCAUGCGAGACCUGGGCCGCACAAGAAGUUUAUCUGAGAUGCUGGGGCUGUCUUUCCCUUUCCUGUGGUUCUGCACUACCCAAGCUUCCAAAAAAAAGCAUAGCAACAACGUUUCUGUAAAUGUUCACCGUGUGGCUCUGGGGUAUGGCCUGUGCUGUCUGCACGCUAACAGCAGUCUCCGUUUCCCUUGCAGGAGGACCAGCACUUGAUCUGGAAGCACCAUGUGGGACUUACCGUCCUCCCAGGACGAGUUUGAUGGUUUUCUUCCCAUCAGAAGCAUGAGGCCAUGCUCUGGGGUCAGGAUGUCAGUGACUUACAGAUGACACGGAGCACUGAAGCCUGCGUGUGAAUCAGGUCUUGGAAGAGGCUGUGCUCCGUUUGCCGCACAGACACUUUCGCUCUCUCAGAAGGGAGGUCCUCCUGCACGUAGCCAUGCAGUUGGUGUUUUCCAGGUGGCUGCUGUGCACCGGAUGUGUGCCAGUGCUGCAAAACACGUGUCCUUGUUGUGCUUCCUCUAGAGAUGCAUCUGCUGAUGUCAGCUUCCAGGUAAGGCAUGCAGGAACCCGCUCCAUGUUGGCAUCUGUGGCCUUUGCCCUCUCCUGGUCCUAAGGAAGUUAAAAGUGACCUAAGGCUGUUUUUCACUGAGCUGUGGUCAGUGCUGCAGAUGGGGAAGCAAUGGCAGUUUUCCAACAGGUGAGACCCUCCAGGCCAACUAGCCAGACAAGAAAAAUAAGCACAGGAAAUAGUAUCCCUGCAGUCAGAUAACUGAGACACAAGCGGCUGGGAGCAAUCCUGCUGUGUGUGUGUCGGGGGGACAGAGCUUGGAGCAAGCAAAUGUCAGGCCUUGUCACAAGGAAAGGGCCUGCGUGUGGGUGAGUUAGUUCUUGCAAAGGGCAAAAACUGGAUGUGACUCUUGUCUUUCUGUCCCAGUAUCAGUACUUGUGUCUCUGUGCAGGUAGACGCUGCUCUGUCUCGCCUGUGAAACCCAUUCCCUGCACUCCUCCUGUUGGCCUCUUCUUUGUGGCACGUCUGCAGGUCCUGUGUGCUUCCCAGCUUUGUCCCCAGUGGUAUUGCUGGGCAGUGUUGUGGUGAGGCAUCUGCUGCUCCAUCCUGUGCUUAGAGAGAUGGAGAAGCCACCUGUGGUGCUUGAAAUAGCUCUGCCCAGGCAAUCCAAGCCAAGUGGUGCUGGUAGAGGGAGGGAUUCCCAUGCCUCAUAAAGAGGCUUUUGUUGGGAGGAUCUAAGCUGAGCUCCAUGCCUUGCCAGCUGUGGAGAGGAGCAGAUGGGUCUGCAGUAUAAAAAUAGAUGGAAGCAGACUUGUUCUGCCUCUUUUCUUCACCAGCACAGUCCCAGAGGUGCCUGGUCAUCUGAACCAGCACAAGGAACUGGGUGCUUUGCAGCUGCUAGUCUGCCUGGAGCCCACUAGCUAUUGUCAGAGACAGGAAUUUAUCUCUGUCCAGUCCCAUUCCCUCUACAGCUGCCGUGUGGACAAUCUUAUUUGCUCACAGCUGCUGGCAGCGUGUUACAUCCCAUUUCCUUGGAGCAGUGCAAACAGGAGGAGGAUGUUUCUAUGAGAUCCCAUGCCCCCAAGCUGCUGUACCCUCAAGAAGCAGGGCAUCAUUCUCUGGCUGUGUCUUCUCAAUACACUGAAGCCAUGUCAGUGUGCCUUGAGCAUUCAGCUCCUCACUUGGCAUCCCCACUCCAUCCCCUCCUGCUAACUGAAUAAGGAUCACAUGGAUGCUUCCCAAAUGAGCUUUUAUAAGGCACUAAUUUGAUCCAUUCAGGGCAUCUUCCUGUAACGAAAGCUCCUGAGGUAAUUGAAGGUGAGGUUGCAUGGGUGGGGGAGGAACAUGGCACGACUGCUGGCAGAGGUAAUUGGAGGAACAAAAGAAAACCCUUUUGUUCCCAUAAAUCCGGACUUUGACGUGUUCCUCUGCACUCCCUGCCUACCUAGCUGCUACUUGUGCUGUUUCUUAAGGUGCCUGCUUUCCUCUGGAAGCAAGGCCUCUGGUCUGGCUCCUUCUGUGACAGUUUAUCUGUGGGACUGUUCUCCUCCAGCCCAGACCCCCAUGCUCCCUUUUAGUGUGGGAGUCAGGAAGCAGCAGCAGCACUGAGCCUUCCCACUCGUGUGCAGCAUUUCCUUCUGCUGGCCAGGGGAGCAGAAAAAGGCUGUCUGAAGGGUUUGUUUUCUUCUAAGCAAGACUGCUGGAUUUGCAGAGUAGGGGCGAUCGCUGAUCCUUCAAUGUGGGAAACACGUGUUGGGGGAAAGGUAACUUCUGAGGCCCUGGGCUGUCAAAACUGCAGACACCAUGCUACCAGUGCCAGUGAGCAGACGGGGAAGCAUCUGCUGUGCGUUACAAUAGCAUAAAGUUGACAUUUCACCCCUGACCAUUUCUUUCUUUAGCUCCUUAGCGUUUGGUAUUUACAGAAAUGUUGGUUACUAACUUGGUCGGAAUCGGUUCCCACAGCACCCGUCUCUUCUCCAGCAAUUGUCAGGAGAAGUCUUUGAGAUUCACAGGGAACUGUGUCACACGGGCAGCAGAUGGAGGUAUCACAAAAUGGGUCGGAGGAAGCCUCCAGGAUUAUCCAGCAGCACAGCAGAGAAGGUGGGACUGAAACCAGUGCUUCCAGGACACUGUCCGGGCCUCACUCCUGUCUCUUCAUCCCCAGUGAAACUCUGGAUUCAAACCAGAACGUGAACUAAAUUCCUGUUUUGGAAUCCAUCUCCUGCCUGCACCUAAAGCACUCGGUGUGGGCUGUAAACAGCCAGGCUGUACAGCAGGGGAGCAACCUCCAAAGUGUGGCCCUUCUUUAGGAUUUGGGCAUCUCACUCAGUGUAGGAACUCAGCAGCCUUUGUACUCACUGAUGUCAUUUCUAAUUUCUCUUUGGUUGUUUAACUCUGGCAGGUUUAAGUCUGAUGCUGGAGGACAGAGAGCAGAGAGAGCUCCCUCUGCUGUCUGUGGGACUUCAGGAUCCAACUAGUUUGGUCCACAUUUCCCUUUGCUGGAAAGCUCUGGUUAAAGCAGAUUGUUCUGAUGGCUUCUUGGGCCAUUCACCUCAGGUAGAUUUUCCCCACAAUGAUGGAGACUCAGCUGUCUUCACCAGGACACUCCUUCAGAGAUGACUGACACAGCAUCAAGGCUGAAGCCCUUGGGGAGAUGCUAAGAAAUCAGGUAGGAAUGUGGCAACUAUGAAGGAUUUUUUUCAAAGCAAAUAUGUAAAAAAUAGCUUUUUGCUCUUAGGUUGUAUUUUAAACAAACAAACAAACAAAAACCUCCACAUCCUGGGUUUAUGAAGGCUGCUAACCCAGGUACUUCUUUGUUCUGCUGUAGACUGAAAAUAUUUUGGUCAGUUGAACCAGAUGGUUCCUUGCCAGAAUACAGACAGAAGGUGGAGUGGGUGGCAACUCCUCUCAGCCUUGGACUGGUCCCUGUGGCCUCUUGCUUCGUGUUUGUGAGGUCUCCUUUUCCUUUUGGAGGGUCAUACCUCUCAUUUGUGUUGUAGUGUCUUUCCCACCAUUCUCUCUCUCUGCAGGCUGCAUUUUGGAACUGUGCUCAGGAAGACCUUCCUGUGUUUCUCAGCAGCAGCAUAAUCAAUGCUUUGUUAUGGUGUUUCAGCUAGGUGCCCCUGAAGGGUGAGCAGCUCUGGUCAAUAAAAACAGGACUUUCUUGCUCUCACUACUGUUUUUCUUCACCCCAGCGAAGCUGCUAACAUGUUCCAGCAUGCACAAGAUAACAGAGGCUUGAUAAACCCAAAAGGCUCCUUGUUAAACAAGUACCUGGAGCUGAGCUGAUGCUAGUGAUUGCCAUUGUGCUGGGACCAGGAGGAAAUGAACUGUGUCAGCAUGUUUGUGAGUGACUAACUACUGUUUCCCAUGGAACAAAAGAUCUGAGAGUUUACAGAUGUGUUUCCAGGUGUGAUUUAGUCAAAGCAAGCAAGCAGAGUGUUUCUCGAUAAAAAGACAACAGAUCUCUUCCAAAGGUAGGUUAACUCUGUGAUAACUGUGAGCUGAUCUUUUCUUGUUGAAUCGAAGUGAGGGAGGCAAGCAAAGUGACUGCAAACCUGCAUUUUGCCUCCCAGACAAAGGGUUGGUUAGAGACUCCUUUGGUCCCUGGCAUGCCAGAGAGCAGACAAAAUGUAUUGUCAACACUGAACUUCCUCCAUUCUUCAGCAACUUCCCCUCAACCAGCCUUCAGAAUGGCAGGAAGCCAGGAGCAGAUGAUGAGGUUAUAAUUUGACUCUCCUGCUCCGUAGGUGAUUGUACCUGUGGCUUUGUUAGUCCAUGGGAAAAGUGGGAGAAUCCAAAUGCAGACCCUAAUUUUUUUGUCCAUAUCAAAAUCCUUAUCUCCAUUUUGAAUUAAAUAUGCAUGCAGGCCCAUUUCUAAAACUGAUAAGAGUGCUUCUGAAGAUUUAAGUAGAAUUAGUAAAAGAUUUCUUUGUGUGUGGGCACUGUAAAGCUCCCCCAGCCCCAUUAUCCCCCUGCAAAACAAAAGGCAAAACCAAAAAUUAGCAGUGGCAAGAAAUCCUGGUACAUGAGUGACUUCAGAACAAAAUUCUGAUUUUCCUACAUUGCAACACCCCUGCAUCUUGUCUGUAUCUGUGUAUAACUCAAAGCAGGACCCAAAGCUUUUUUUUACCAACUGCCUUCCUUCCUGUAGCUGUGUAUUAAGUAGCAUGAAACUCACCCUAUAUUUUAGGUUUCCUUUCUUACAGCCUUACUAAUUACCCUCUAUGGCCUGUUGGUUGCAUUUGAAAUGUUUUGAAUCAGUUAUCUCUGAAGAUAAUUGCUUUCUAUCUCUACAUGAACCAAAGGGAUCUGUGUUUGAGGAGAAGCAAUGUAGAGAUCGCUUUUGCAGUACAACUCGGUAAUUUAUUUUGUGAUCACGAGCAAAGGAACACGUAGAAGGUCACUUUGAAGAAUGCUGCAGUGUCUAGAAAGCAAGUUUAGACAGGCCAUCAAUAUCAUGUGGCCUUGCAGGACUUGCCUGGAUCCACGUCCACCUAAAUCCCUUGGUAGGUGUUGUUAACAAACAGCAUGAUCCCAUGCACGGGCUGAGACAGAUUGUCCCCUUAUUGCAUCUGGGACACAAUUUAUUUACUUCACUACUCUGGGGAGCUUUGUGUGACCCAUUUAAAGGAAUGGCAGCAGAAGAAAGUGUCUGGAAACAUGGUUUGCAUGAUAUUAGCAGAGUUUGUAAAAAGCUGAGUGCUUCAGAGAGAGUAUAUGCACAUAUUACAAACAUAGAAAGGAAAUUGUUUCUCAGUCCUGCCUGCUAGCUCUGAUAUGUGAUGCUGUUUAGCCUUCACUUCUAUCUUGGGUUACAGUGGAGACACUUUGUUUGUUUAAGUCCUUUCUUGGGUCUUUCCCAGCUUUAGCCUGAACUUUAGAUAUUUGGCUCUUAAACUCAUCCUCCAGAGUGCUUCUGAGUAAUGCCAGGGUGCUGUUGUGGGGUUUUACAGGAACUCUUGGGAGCAGUCUUACAGCACAGAGCAUAUGAUCCAGUGCUAACAAACCCAGUUUUAACUCUGAGAUGGUAACUGCAGCACAGGGCUCCAUCACAGAAGCACAGACAAACUGCUUUCUGUGCACAUUACACCCGUGUGGUCCUGAAAUCUUUGCCUGACUUUGCCUGGACUACCUGAGGGCAAUAGAGAUGAAGUGUUUUGUAGGAAUUUUCCCUUAUUUAAAAAAAUGUUUCUGAUCCUUAAAAUGUGUUUUCCUCCAAACCAAUUAUUCAUAGGCUGACUUCAUGCUAAAAGGUUGAGCUUUGUUUUUUGCAAAAUAGUGCCUUGGUCCUGGUAAUGCAGCACUGAGAAGAGGUUUAAAUACAGGGAUUUGAAGAAUUCAACACCAGGAUUGAGCUCUGGAUUCAAGCAUCAUACUUAGCAGAUAAUUGCAAUGACCAAGGUGGAACAUUCAGAUUUAGAUCCAAGCUCUCUAAUAUGCUUUGUCUGGGAUACGGAAAGCAUCUUCCUUUAUUAGGUUACUUUCCUGAUGAACAUUAACAUUUCAUGCUUUGAAGGUUUAUUGUGUUGGCUGGAAUUAUACCUUUAUAUACACAUAGUCCCUAUGGAAUAGCCUGGUCUCCUUUCAUCAUUAUUAGUAAUUCUAGGCUUGUCAUUUCCUGUUCACGCAGUCUGGACUUGGCUGUGUUGUUGCAGGAUGGUUGAUACGGCACACAGGAAAUGUACUGUUUUUUCAGAUCUCGACUGUUCAUGAGUAUUCUUUUCAGGGGCUUCAGUUUUAUUGCCCCAAAGUCCGUUUCCUACAUGUAGCACGCUUUAACAAAUUACAAACAAACAAGUCAGUGAAAGUUCACACUAAGAAUAGAAGCUGGAAGAGAAAAGUUCAGUUAUGUGACCUUCUUCAGGAGCUGGAUACAAAAUAGACCUGCUGUUUUUUCUUUUAAUUUGCAGUCCAGGCUGAAAAGAAUUUGAAUAGUUCCCAAAGAAACCCAGGCCCUUCUGUUUGUUUCUACGAAUCUCCAGAAAUGCUUUAUUUGUUAGUUGACAUCCUGAGUAUGCUGAUAGGGAAAUAAACGUAAUUUGGUUUCCUAAUUUCCCUGAAUUUUUGCACUGCUAUCUCAUUCAGUGAUGUUUAAAGACCUGCCAGCCACGAAGAGAACAAAAUGUUAUUGAUACAUACCCUUAAAAUUGACUGUUAAAGCAAAUUAGGAUCAUCAGGUGGAAAACACCACGUAACUGUCAGCCACUGCUUAUUGUUGCUCUGCAGAAGUAUGUUUGGGCCUGGAAAGUGAUCACUAAGAAGAGGUUUGCUGGACCUUGGUCACAAAAACAGACACAAUGCUGCACCAAUGACUGCAGGACAAAUACUAACAUAACAAACCAGUUAUCCAGGCUUUUUUAAACAUCCUUCCUUUCAAAUGAUGGCCUUCCUUCUCUUUCGUAUUCACUGCUUUUGUUUUGUCAUGUGCUGUCGCCCUUAAUUUUAGCUGAUCUUGGAAAUGCCCCCAAGACUGAAGGGCUCUCCUCAAGGCCUUCUGCCUCAAGGAGCCCCAUCCCUCACAGCAGCAGUGCGAUGCCCUGUGCACCAUGAGCAUCGCUGCACCAUUUGGGUUAAAAAAGGCACAGUCACAUCUCAGAAUGCCAUGAUGACACCUGACUGUCCCUGUGCACUUUCUGUUUAAAGUUAAAUAUUAGACACUCUCUCCAUGAUACUCUUUUUUUGGCCUAAAGGGCUUAAUGUUUAACUGAGAACAGCAAACAGCUGUAGAUGUGAAGUGCUGGACGUUGUUAUAUCCUCUAGAAGAUUCAAAAAAUAGUGCUUGAAAUCAGUGUGAUGUGUCUAGAUGUGUGUGGCCCAUUCCUGGGCUUGG